This 884-nucleotide ribosomal RNA is filed under the name Enterococcus mundtii. RNAcentral describes it as "bacterial SSU rRNA". It matches the Rfam family "Bacterial small subunit ribosomal RNA", at positions 56 to 912 of the family's 1533-position model. Lineage: Bacteria; Bacillati; Bacillota; Bacilli; Lactobacillales; Enterococcaceae. The record is from RNAcentral.
UGCAGUCGACGCUUCUUUUCCACCGGAGCUUGCUCCACCGGGAAAAGAGGAGUGGCGAACGGGUGAGUAACACGUGGGUAACCUGCCCAUCAGAAGGGGAUAACACUUGGAAACAGGUGCUAAUACCGUAUAACAAUCGAAACCGCAUGGUUUCGUUUUGAAAGGCGCUUUACGGUGCCGCUGAUGGAUGGACCCGCGGUGCAUUAGCUAGUUGGUGAGGUAACGGCUCACCAAGGCCACGAUGCAUAGCCGACCUGAGAGGGUGAUCGGCCACAUUGGGACUGAGACACGGCCCAAACUCCUACGGGAGGCAGCAGUAGGGAAUCUUCGGCAAUGGACGAAAGUCUGACCGAGCAACGCCGCGUGAGUGAAGAAGGUUUUCGGAUCGUAAAACUCUGUUGUUAGAGAAGAACAAGGGUGAGAGUAACUGUUCACCCCUUGACGGUAUCUAACCAGAAAGCCACGGCUAACUACGUGCCAGCAGCCGCGGUAAUACGUAGGUGGCAAGCGUUGUCCGGAUUUAUUGGGCGUAAAGCGAGCGCAGGCGGUUUCUUAAGUCUGAUGUGAAAGCCCCCGGCUCAACCGGGGAGGGUCAUUGGAAACUGGGAGACUUGAGUGCAGAAGAGGAGAGUGGAAUUCCAUGUGUAGCGGUGAAAUGCGUAGAUAUAUGGAGGAACACCAGUGGCGAAAGGCGGCUCUCUGGUCUGUAACUGACGCUGAGGCUCGAAAGCGUGGGGAGCAAACAGGAUUAGAUACCCUGGUAGUCCACGCCGUAAACGAUGAGUGCUAAGUGUUGGAGGGUUUCGUCCUUCAGUGCUGCAGCUAACGCAUUAGCACUCCGCUGGGGGAGUACGACCGCAAGGUUGAAACCUCAAAGGGAAUUG